UGGGGAAUAUUGCACAAUGGGCGAAAGCCUGAUGCAGCGACGCCGCGUGCGGGAUGAAGGCCUUCGGGUUGUAAACCGCUUUUAAUUGGGAGCAAGCGAGAGUGAGUGUACCUUUUGAAUAAGCACCGGCUAACUACGUGCCAGCAGCCGCGGUAAUACGUAGGGUGCAAGCGUUAUCCGGAAUUAUUGGGCGUAAAGAGCUCGUAGGCGGUUUGUCACGCCUGGUGUGAAAGUCCAUCGCUUAACGGUGGAUCUGCGCCGGGUACGGGCAGGCUAGAGUGCAGUAGGGGAGAUUGGAAUUCCCGGUGUAACGGUGGAAUGUGUAGAUAUCGGGAAGAACACCAAUGGCGAAGGCAGAUCUCUGGGCUGUUACUGACGCUGAGGAGCGAAAGCAUGGGGAGCGAGCAGGAUUAGAUACCCUGGUAGUCCAUGCCGUAAAACGGUGGAUGCUGGAUGUGGGACCCUUCCACGGGUUCCGUGUCGGAGCUAACGCGUUAAGCAUCCCGCCUGGGGAGUACGGCCGCAAGGCUAAAACUCU
RNAcentral lists this ribosomal RNA (538 nucleotides) under uncultured bacterium. RNAcentral describes it as "partial 16S ribosomal RNA". It matches the Rfam family "Bacterial small subunit ribosomal RNA", at positions 355 to 903 of the family's 1533-position model. The record is from RNAcentral.